This 497-nucleotide ribosomal RNA is filed under the name uncultured bacterium. RNAcentral describes it as "partial 16S ribosomal RNA". It matches the Rfam family "Bacterial small subunit ribosomal RNA", at positions 28 to 507 of the family's 1533-position model. The record is from RNAcentral.
GAUGAACGCUGGCGGCGUGCCUAAUACAUGCAAGUCGAGCGAACGGACGAGAAGCUUGCUUCUCUGAUGUUAGCGGCGGACGGGUGAGUAACACGUGGAUAAUCUACCUAUAAGACUGGGAUAACUUCGGGAAACCGGAGCUAAUACCGGAUGAUAUUUUGAACCGCAUGGUUCAAAAGUGAAAGACGGUCUUGCUGUCACUUAUAGAUGGAUCCGCGCUGCAUUAGCUAGUUGGUAAGGUAACGGCUUACCAAGGCAACGAUGCAUAGCCGACCUGAGAGGGUGAUCGGCCACACUGGAACUGAGACACGGUCCAGACUCCUACGGGAGGCAGCAGUAGGGAAUCUUCCGCAAUGGGCGAAAGCCUGACGGAGCAACGCCGCGUGAGUGAUGAAGGUCUUCGGAUCGUAAAACUCUGUUAUUAGGGAAGAACAUAUGUGUAAGUAACUGUGCACAUCUUGACGGUACCUAAUCAGAAAGCCACGGCUAACUACGUG